UACGUAGGUGGCAAGCGUUAUCCGGAUUUAUUGGGUGUAGAGGGCGUGUAGGCGGGAGCGCAAGUCAGAUGUGAAAACUCAGGGCUCAACCCUGAGCCUGCAUUUGAAACUGUGUUUCUUGAGUGCUGGAGAGGCAAUCGGAAUUCCGUGUGUAGCGGUGAAAUGCGUAGAUAUACGGAGGAACACCAGUGGCGAAGGCGGAUUGCUGGACAGUAACUGACGCUGAGGCGCGAAAGCGUGGGGAGCAAACAGG
Molecule: ribosomal RNA, 253 nt
Filed under: uncultured bacterium
Lineage: Bacteria
Description: partial 16S ribosomal RNA
Rfam family: Bacterial small subunit ribosomal RNA
Source: RNAcentral